Molecule: long non-coding RNA, 356 nt
Filed under: Vulpes vulpes (red fox)
Lineage: Eukaryota; Metazoa; Chordata; Mammalia; Carnivora; Canidae
Description: lncRNA (ENSVVUG00000024428.1)
Source: RNAcentral
GUGUGCCGGGGCGAGGCGAUGUUGAGAAAAUGCUUGGAAGCCACUGUUGAGAGAUGAAGCGCUUUUAAAAAGAUUCCAACAAGUGACUCUUAUCAAUGUGGACAUUAUGAAGGUCUAUGUUUACUACAGGUGGGGUUUUCUGGAUGAUACCUCAUUCCCUGCGAUCCUGUUUGUCCACUACUGGAAAAGCCAAAAUACAUUUCAUUCCACCUGACACGUGCUGGGGACAAGCUUGCCUACAAAUGCCCACGGGAACUGGCUCAGAUGGGCUUUCUCUAAUAGUGAGUUUUCUUAGAGCCCUAGCUGCCAAUUGUAUUAUCUUGUCUCUUUCCCAGGACUUUUCCCAGGAAAUGUCC